Molecule: long non-coding RNA, 820 nt
Filed under: Triticum aestivum (bread wheat)
Lineage: Eukaryota; Viridiplantae; Streptophyta; Magnoliopsida; Poales; Poaceae
Description: long non-coding RNA (TAES_LNC012473)
Source: RNAcentral
CUCUGUAAGCAUUGUUUGAGAAGGUCAGACUUCAAAUUUUUUGGCAAGCAUUUAUAUAUUUUCUCAAGAUAGCUAAGAUGAAUCUCUAGGUAUUUAUUUAUGGCCCUGCACAUGAUGGGGUUGUAUAUAUCGAAACAAACAUCUCACAAUUGAUUCUCCUGAUGAACGCAGUGCUGACAUAUGCCGGAUGAAGGGACUACUCUAUCAGUGGAAUGUCUCAAUGCUUUGCCUUUCAGGUUUCUAACCAUAAUUUAUACUGGUGAAAACAAUGUCGUAAUUUCUUUUAGUGCCAUGUUAAAAGGGAUACACUGGGUCCAAACAGUCAUAUACAUAAAUUUAUUUGUUGUUCGGAAAGGCAUAUCUUUCCUUUCAUGUUCUUAUUUGCCAUUUCAAUCUUGGGUCUCCAUGCCCAAGCACAAGCUGUUACCUUAAUAAUCAAUUUAUUUUUACUCCUAAUCUAGAUCAAGGAUUAUGUUCUUGAUGCUAGAGUGCCACUGGACAAUUGCUUGGCCUAUUCGAAGAUUCCUCCUAUGUAUAAGCUUACACAAGUUUUUCUUUCAGAUUUGCACAGAUGGGAGAACAAAUUGCUAUUUGUUCUGCUGCGCUCUCGUUAUGGACCACUUCCAUGUUAUCCAUCUGCAAGGAGUGUAUAUGAUGACACUUUACAUGGAUCUCCCAACAGAUUGAAUGUGCCACGCAUGAACGAGAUCAUGCCCAUCGGCACGAACCUCAACCGGGAAGAGCAGGAGCCGGGCUUCCAGGAUUGCCUGCUGAAGGAAUAGGCCAGAGACACCAAGUUUCUCUGCUCCUCCUUUUUUCG